UAGGGAAUCUUCGGCAAUGGACGAAAGUCUGACCGAGCAACGCCGCGUGAGUGAAGAAGGUUUUCGGAUCGUAAAACUCUGUUGUUAGAGAAGAACAAGGACGUUAGUAACUGAACGUCCCCUGACGGUAUCUAACCAGAAAGCCACGGCUAACUACGUGCCAGCAGCCGCGGUAAUACGUAGGUGGCAAGCGUUGUCCGGAUUUAUUGGGCGUAAAGCGAGCGCAGGCGGUUUCUUAAGUCUGAUGUGAAAGCCCCCGGCUCAACCGGCGAGGGUCAUUGGAAACUGGGAGACUUGAGUGCAGAAGAGGAGAGUGGAAUUCCAUGGGGAGCGGUGAAAUGCGUAGAUAUAUGGAGGAACACCAGUGGCGAAGGCGGCUCUCUGGACUGUAACUGACGCUGAGGCUCGAAAGCGUGGGGAGCAAACAGG
Molecule: ribosomal RNA, 429 nt
Filed under: Gemmatimonadota bacterium
Lineage: Bacteria; Pseudomonadati; Gemmatimonadota
Description: Gemmatimonadetes bacterium partial 16S ribosomal RNA
Rfam family: Bacterial small subunit ribosomal RNA
Source: RNAcentral